Molecule: long non-coding RNA, 1486 nt
Filed under: Monodelphis domestica (gray short-tailed opossum)
Lineage: Eukaryota; Metazoa; Chordata; Mammalia; Didelphimorphia; Didelphidae
Description: lncRNA (ENSMODG00000030065.2)
Source: RNAcentral
CAUCUGGUCCCCGCCUCAGCCAAUCGGGUGGGGGAGCCCAAGCAGCAAUAUAAAGUAAGGAUUCUCAUCUUCCAGCCACACAGUUACCAAGAAAAGGGACUCGCUUCCUGGAGUGGCUGAAAGUGCUCUGGACGGCGGGCCAGGCCCAUCAUGGCGGACAGCGGGAGAGCCGGGCAAGAGGAAGCACCACGAGUGAGGCAGGGUGGAAGCCUCAAGGAACCGAGGGUUCGGGGUCUCUUCUCCAGCCUGAAGGCUGGGGGGAACCCCAUUCAAUGGAGCAGGAGGAAGAUGGACACAGACUGGCUGGCCACCAGAGCAACUUCAAGACCCUGGCCAAGCUGCACUGCGGAUGGCACGACCCCUUCAGGUGAAAGCAUCCUGAGAGAAAUGGGAAUACAGACUAUGGUUAGACUUGAGUGUCUCUCACCAUCCAACCUAGCAACUAGGAGUAUGGAGAAGAAGGGCACAUUCUGGAGUAAGGAAUAGUGGAUUCCCUGGGGAAUUCCAGCGUCAUCUCCUUGGCCUUUCUUCUCCCCUCUCAUCCUUUCUCUUUCCCUCUUCUGCUCUCCUCCUCUCCCCUGCUCCUCCUCUCCUUUCCUCCUCCCAUUUCCCCUCCCCUCCUCUUUCACUCCUCUCCUCACUUUCCCUCUUCAUCUUUCUUUUCUCCUUCUUCUUUCCAUUUUUCUCUGGUGGUAGGAUAAGAGAAGUGGUGCCUUGGUGCUGUAGGGGGUCGGAACUGGCAGGAUUCCCAAAUUACCUGUUAUCAAGUCGCCAUCUUUGUUAUAGUUCAGCAAAAGGACUUCAGCUGGGGUGAGACAAGGGGUCUGGAGCAUCAGACUCUGUGGAUUAAAAGGUACUGUGGCAGGGCUCAGGCUCUGGGUAGGCAAGACUGAUUGUUUUAGUUGAUUUUCCAACUCCCUUAUGUGGCUAUAUUACAUAACACCAAUGCUUUUGAGAGGAUUAGGAGACAGCAAAGUAGCAUUUAGUUCCUGGUUCUGCUACUUAUAUGACCUUUGACAAGUCACCUCUCUAAAGCUCAGUUUCCUCAUCUGUAAAAUUGGGCCAGGUAAUUGAGUUCCCUUCCAUCUCCCACCUUUCCAAAGACUCUGCCUUUGCAAUUUGAUGGGCUACUCGACAAGAAGACUGAUGCAGGGAUUGUGCAGGCUUGAUAGCAACCAUUGAGCAUGUGGACUCCAAGGCAUGAGUAUAGAACCUGACAUGCUCACCGUUUUUCAAUUGUAGGAUUAAUGGUCCACAGGAGAUCUCUAGACAGCCUUACCCUGAGAGUCUAGCAUAUGGAAAAGGAAGCAGACAUUCUGUUCUGUCCUGUCAGUCAGUCAACAAAUAUUUAUUAAAUACUUAUGUGAGAGGAAGCUAGAUGGUUCAAUGGAUAGAGAUAGGAGAUAGGAGGACCUGGGUUCAAAUCUGGAACUUCCUGGCUAUGUGACCCUGAGCAAGUCAUUUAAUACCAAUUGCCUAACCCUUA